This 270-nucleotide ribosomal RNA is filed under the name uncultured bacterium. Its description in RNAcentral is "partial 16S ribosomal RNA". It matches the Rfam family "Bacterial small subunit ribosomal RNA", at positions 29 to 324 of the family's 1533-position model. The record is from RNAcentral.
AACGAACGCUGGCGGCAGGCCUCAAACAUGCAAGUCUAGGGGGUGUAGCAAUACAUCACCGGCGGACGGGUGCGUAACGCGUGGGAAUAUACCUUUUGGUUCGGAACAACUGAGGGAAACUUCAGCUAAUACCGAAUGUGCCCUAACGGGGAAAGAUUUAUCGCCAAAGGAUUAGCCCGCGUAGGAUUAGCUAGUUGGUGAGGUAAUGGCUCACCAAGGCUCCGAUCCUUAGCUGUUCUGAGAGGAAGAUCAGCCACACUGGGACUGAGA